AAACACCUUCAGAGGAAAACUGUGUAUUUUCCAUGAAAUCGUUGCCUAGGAAACAAUGAUUUCAUCUUAUUUUUGGCAUAGAACUGUAGGUGUAUAAAAGCUCUGAAUCAGUCCGCACACAAGAUGAGUGCUGAUAUUUAUGAAGCCAGCAAGACAGUAUGGGUGCUUCUAAUUUGUGGUCUCCAGAGAGGAAAUUUUGUCUAAGAAUUUUUUUUUUGAGAGAUCAGUUGGACAAGAACAUCCCUUCAAGUUACUAGAAGAAGAAUGGACCUUUUUGAUGUCACUGUUAUUCCAGAAAGAAUCUCUGGCAUGCUCCCCUCCAGCUAACGUCAGAAAGAAAAGGGGGCCCUUGCAAAUCACUCCAGCAAAAAAAAGUUAGAGACCAAGACAUGACUGCAAGCACAAAGGUGGACAUAUGCCCAAGACUUGCCAAUCAUUUUAUCCCCUGAACCUAGACAUUAUGGUCAUCUGGUCAUAAAAUGUGUUCAAAGAUAAAUGCCUCCAUUGCCUUCCAAUAAAUCCCUCUUCUACCUAUUUUAUUAAUUUAUU
RNAcentral lists this long non-coding RNA (549 nucleotides) under Sus scrofa (pig). RNAcentral's name for it is "lncRNA (ENSSSCG00040071404.1)". Lineage: Eukaryota; Metazoa; Chordata; Mammalia; Artiodactyla; Suidae. The record is from RNAcentral.